Molecule: ribosomal RNA, 301 nt
Filed under: uncultured bacterium
Lineage: Bacteria
Description: partial 16S ribosomal RNA
Rfam family: Bacterial small subunit ribosomal RNA
Source: RNAcentral
CAGUAGCCACGGGAAUACGUAGGUGGCAAGCGUUGUCCGGAAUUAUUGGGCGUAAAGGGCUCGCAGGCGGUUUCUUAAGUCUGAUGUGAAAGCCCCCGGCUCAACCGGGGAGGGUCAUUGGAAACUGGGAAACUUGAGUGCAGAAGAGGAGAGUGGAAUUCCACGUGUAGCGGUGAAAUGCGUAGAGAUGUGGAGGAACGCCAGUGGCGAAGGCGACUCUCUGGUCUGUAACUGACUCUGAGGAGCGAAAGCGUGGGGAGCGAACAGGAUUAGAUACCCGGGUAGUCCCUGUCUCUUAUAC